This 939-nucleotide ribosomal RNA is filed under the name uncultured archaeon. Its description in RNAcentral is "bacterial SSU rRNA". It matches the Rfam family "Archaeal small subunit ribosomal RNA", at positions 1 to 923 of the family's 1478-position model. The record is from RNAcentral.
UUCCGGUUGAUCCUGCCGGACCCGACCGCUAUCGGGGUGGGGCUAAGCCAUGGGAGUCGCACGCUCCGCCGCCGCGGGGCGUGGCGCACGGCUGAGUAGCACGUGGCUAACCUACCCUCGGGAGGGGGAUAACACCGGGAAACUGGUGCUAAUCCCCCAUAGGGGAAGGCGCCUGGAAGGGUCCUUCCCCGAAAGGGUUUGGCAGGGGUUAUCGCUGCCAAGCCGCCCGAGGAUGGGGCUACGGCCCAUCAGGUAGUUGGCGGGGUAAUGGCCCGCCAAGCCGAUAACGGGUGGGGGCCGUGAGAGCGGGAGCCCUCAGAUGGGCCCUGAGACAAGGGCCCAGGCCCUACGGGGCGCACCAGGCGCGAAAACUCCGCAAUGCGGGCAACCGUGACGGGGUCACCCCGAGUGCCCCGAAGAGGGGCUUUUCCCCUCCGUAAGAUGGAGGGGGAAUAAGCGGGGGGCAAGUCUGGUGUCAGCCGCCGCGGUAAUACCAGCCCCGCGAGUGGUUGGGACGGUUAUUGGGCCUAAAGCGCCCGUAGCCGGCCCGGCAAGUCCUCCCUUAAAACUCGGGGCUCAACCCCGAGACGGGGGGGAUACUGUCGGGCUAGAGGGCGGGAGAGGCCGGCGGUACUCCCGGGGUAGGGGCGAAAUCCGCUGAUCCCGGGAGGACCACCAGUGGCGAAGGCGGCCGGCUGGAACGCGCCUGACGGUGAGGGGCGAAAGCCGGGGGAGCGAACCGGAUUAGAUGCCCGGGUAGUCCCGGCUGUAAACGAUGCGGGCUAGGUGUUGGACGGGCUUAGAGCCCGUCCAGUGCCGCAGGGAAGCCGUUAAGCCCGCCGCCUGGGGAGUACAGCCGCAAGGCUGAAACUUAAAGGAAUUGGCGGGGGAGCACCACAAGGGGUGGAGCCUGCGGCUCAAUUGGAGUCAACGCCGGGA